GAUGAACGCUGGCGGCGUGCCUAACACAUGCAAGUCGAACGUGAACUCUGUACUUGUAUAGGGUGAAAGUGGCGAACGGGUGAGUAACACGUUGGUGACCUGCCCCGAGGAGAGGGAUAACUCCUUGAAAGAGGAGCUAAUACCUCAGAUGUCAGGACAGGUUAGCGGGUCCAGACUAAAGCUAUGGCGUCUCGGGAGGGGCCUGCGGGCUAUCAGCUAGUUGGUGGGGAAGGCCUACCAAGGCGAAGACGGCUAGGGGGCGUGAGAGCGCGAUCCCCCA
Molecule: ribosomal RNA, 280 nt
Filed under: uncultured bacterium
Lineage: Bacteria
Description: partial 16S ribosomal RNA
Rfam family: Bacterial small subunit ribosomal RNA
Source: RNAcentral